ACGCACUGUUCGUGACCUGCUGGUCUGCCUGUGGCUGGUGGGUUCCAUUCCGGUGCGACAGUAGUUCCAGCGGCACAUGACUGACUGACUGACUGGUGGCUCUCAGUCUCAGCUCGUGGGGACACAG
Molecule: small nucleolar RNA, 127 nt
Filed under: Camelus dromedarius (Arabian camel)
Lineage: Eukaryota; Metazoa; Chordata; Mammalia; Artiodactyla; Camelidae
Source: RNAcentral